RNAcentral lists this non-coding RNA (29 nucleotides) under Mus musculus (house mouse). The record is from RNAcentral. Lineage: Eukaryota; Metazoa; Chordata; Mammalia; Rodentia; Muridae.
UAGGUUCUGAUGGAGCAUUGUUAGCAGGC